UACAGAGGUCUCAAGCGUUGUGCGGAUUCAUUGGGCGUAAAGGGUGCGUAGGCGGCGCGGUAAGUCGGGUGUGAAAUCUUGGAGCUUAACUCCGAAACUGCAUUCGAUACUGCCGUGCUUGAGGACUGGAGAGGAGACUGGAAUUUACGGUGUAGCGGUGAAAUGCGUAGAUAUCGUAAGGAAGACCAGUGGCGAAGGCGGGUCUCUGGACAGUUCCUGACGCUGAGGCACGAAGGUCAGGGGAGCAAACGGG
Molecule: ribosomal RNA, 253 nt
Filed under: uncultured bacterium
Lineage: Bacteria
Description: partial 16S ribosomal RNA
Rfam family: Bacterial small subunit ribosomal RNA
Source: RNAcentral